AUUGAACGCUGGCGGCAUGCUUUACACAUGCAAGUCGAACGGUAACAGGGAGCUUGCUCCGCUGACGAGUGGCGAACGGGUGAGUAAUGCGUCGGAACGUGCCGAGUAGUGGGGGAUAACGCAGCGAAAGUUGUGCUAAUACCGCAUACGUACUGAGGUAGAAAGUGGGGGACCUUCGGGCCUCACGCUAUUCGAGCGGCCGACGUCUGAUUAGCUAGUAGGUGAGGUAAAGGCUCACCUAGGCGACGAUCAGUAGCGGGUCUGAGAGGAUGAUCGGCCACACUGGGACUGAGACACGGCCCAGACUCCUACGGGAGGCAGCAGUGGGGAAUUUUGGACAAUGGGCGAAAGCCUGAUCCAGCCAUGCCGCGUGUCUGAAGAAGGCCUUCGGGUUGUAAACUGCUUUUGUCAGGGAAGAAAUCUUCUGGGCUAAUACCCCGGGAGGAUGACGGUACCUGAAGAAUAAGCACCGGCUAACUACGUGCCAGCCGCCGCGGUAA
RNAcentral lists this ribosomal RNA (500 nucleotides) under uncultured bacterium. RNAcentral's name for it is "partial 16S ribosomal RNA". It matches the Rfam family "Bacterial small subunit ribosomal RNA", at positions 30 to 523 of the family's 1533-position model. The record is from RNAcentral.